UGUCGUAUAUAUUGUUUGGCACCUUGCCAGAAAUGUUUAGGCUUGCAUCCUGAAAACGAUACUGACUGUAGGGAUACUAACAGCAUAAUAUUCAUCUUUUGUCAUUUGAAAUGGAGUGAAGGUGAACAAGGCCUUUAAGAAGACCGGUCAGGAUCCUCCCCGUAGUGUUAGUUGUGACUGUUUAGAGUGGCCACUAGGGGGCAAAGAGCAAGGAGGCUGUGUAAAUGGGAAAUACAAAGACAGUCUAAGACCAUCUGGCGUUCACCCCACCAUGGUGUGCUCCACAUUGCUGUAUUUGCAAUAAUGUUCAAUGCUUGAUAACAAUCAUUAUUCUAAAAUUCAGUGUCAUUGUUUGACUGUCAAAAUAAACUGCAGGAUGUCAACAAUAACCAGUGUCCCAGACAAAAACAUCAUUAAGCUGAGGUUAAAGCUGACAGUACAUAGCAAUAACAUUAGAGUAAAAUUUAAAAAUGCAGAUAUAGUUAUCAAAAACACCAACCAUUAGCAACCUAGGAAGUUCAAAGUUUAACAGAAAAGAAACCUAAACAUUUGAAAGUGGGGAGCUCUCAGUCAGAGUUCCAGCUACAUGAAGGUUUUGUCUGGAAAUUGUCUUUUUUGGUCUGAGUUAUUUUUACAAUUUUGAACGUUCAUUACUUGCAUAGGGAAAAAGGAAGCACAAUACCCUGUGGUACUCCUGAGCUUUGGAACUGGGAAAGACAACAGGAGAGGACUCUGCAGAUCACUGGACAUGAGGGGGAAAGCGGAGAGCAGGUUGGCCUCCCUACAGACCUUCUAAAGUCCACAGGAUGUGUUGCAAACAGAAGUCAGCAGGAGGAGUGGACCAGAAGUGCAUUCUACUGAGGGCCACGACAACUUGUGCAGAUUUUAACAUGUCCGCAGGGAAGCAAAUAUGGGAACAGAAGCAGGAAUCUAGGUGUGGAACCUGCAAGAGCAGUCGAGUCAGGGCGUUAGUGGGAAGAUGACUUUGGGAAGCCAGGAGGGCUGUAAAACAUACCAGGCCAGGGAAAAAGUGGCACAGAACAGGAUCUCUUUGGGCCCUCUGAACAAGAGGGGAACCUGGGGAAUUUAGGAUCUUCAAAGGGCUACAGGAGUCCUCCACGCAUGAGGAAGUUGGAACCCAGCUGCACAUGUUCAACUAUGUAAUCUGCAGGUGUUUGUGGCUGCUAUCUUGCCAGCUGCUGCCUAUUCAGGGUUGUAUCUUGUAUGGGUUUCACACACUGUAUAAAGUACAGCACCAUCUAUAUUCACUGUUGGUUCUAAAAACAUUUUACAAUCUAGACUAUUUACUUAAGACAUAAUUCCAGGGCUCCCCUAUAGGUUUCAAGCUUAUAGACGCCAGCUCCUUGCAUUCAUUUUUACUUCUUAUUUAAAUUACCACAUACUAUUUAUUCUUUCAAGUACACUAUCACCAGCUUUGGCUAGUAAAAGCAAAUAAGAUAUCAGGGAGGUGGAGGGAGAGCUAAAAAAAAAGGAAAAUAACUGAAGUAUUUUCCUGGUUAGGGAGGUGCAUUUUAGACCCACAAGAAUGCUAUUUAAAUAUUAUUUUUUCCAAGUAUGCAGACAAGGUAGUGGAUAGGUUAGAGGGAUCAAGUGGGAGGAAAGAGUGACAAAACUUGACCUUCACUCCCUUACCUACUCACAACUCAUCUGUGAAACUAAUGCAAAUAUUUUUUUAAAACCUCUGCAGCUGAAUUCCCAGAGCUCUGUAUUUUUAUAUCAGCCAAUUUCUCUUUCAGCCUUUAGUGGGCACAUUCUGCAUAAUAAUGGAAAAUAGAAAAGAAAAUGGGCUGCAUAAUGAGAUGUUUGCCAGGCAAUGAGAGAGUGCUAAGUGGCCUUGUCUUCAGUGAUGCUUUCAUUUCCACACAAGACCUACCAGCCUCAGAAGUUGCUAACAUUUUUCAAAAACCCAGGUUCCCUUGUGACAUUUGCAACUAAAAAAAUUUUGAUUUAAAACUCUCCUGUAUUUCAUUGGUGGCAUUUAACAGCUGAGAAGCCAUUUUGUCCUUUGACUGAAGUUAUAGAGAACCAUGAAAUUAUUGCAUUGUGAUAUGCUUGCAUUGUGUUGUUUUGGUCAGAGUAGCAUCUAUAUUUGACAUUGUGUCUUUCAGACAGAAAAGUCUAAGUGCUACAGAGAGGUACAUUUAGCAUUCUUUUUCAACCUCAUCUCCUCAGCUGCUGGCACUCUUCUCUCUUUCUCCCUACCUCCUGGCAACUGAGAGCGGUAUCUCUGCUCUUUCCCCUACUUUCCUGGAUGUGAGUUCCAUCCUUACCUGUAGUGGGAAAAUGGGGCUGGGAGACAGAGAACAAUAGCUCUCACAUGGAUAUGUUUGUCUGCUAAGCACUCCUCGUUUUGCCUGGCAGACAAAAAUCAGGGAGCCUCAUAACUGGCCAUUGUGAUAAGUGUUUGUGAUCCUGGCAAACUGAAUGGAAACACAGUCAGUUAUAUGGACUCCCCCUUAGAAUCCGUAAAAUCCACAUGAGCCUUAAGAG
Molecule: long non-coding RNA, 2511 nt
Organism: Chrysemys picta bellii (western painted turtle)
Lineage: Eukaryota; Metazoa; Chordata; Testudines; Emydidae
Source: RefSeq, a predicted model, not a curated record